GACGAACGCUGGCGGCGUGCUUAACACAUGCAAGUCGAACGGAAAGGCCUCUUUCGGGGGGUACUCGCGUGGCGAACGGGUGAGUAACACGUGAGUAACCUGCCCUUGACUCUGGGAUAACUUCAGGAAACUGGGGCUAAUACCGGAUAGGAGCUCCUGCUGCAUGGUGGGGGUUGGAAAGUUUCUGCGGUUGGGGAUGGACUCGCGGCUUAUCAGCUUGUUGGUGGGGUAGUGGGUUACCAAGGCGUUGACGGGUAGCCGGCCUGGGAGGGUGAGCGGCCACAUUUGGACUGAGAUACGGGCCAGACUCCUACGGGAGGCAGCGGUGGGGAAUAUUGCACAAUGGGUGGAAGCCUGAUGCAGCAACGCCGUGUGCGGGAUGACGGCCUUCGGGUUGUAAACCGCUUUCGCUCAUGACGAAGCGUUGUGUGACGGUAGUGGGUAAAGAAGCACCGGCUAACUACGUG
This 467-nucleotide ribosomal RNA is filed under the name uncultured bacterium. Its description in RNAcentral is "partial 16S ribosomal RNA". It matches the Rfam family "Bacterial small subunit ribosomal RNA", at positions 28 to 507 of the family's 1533-position model. The record is from RNAcentral.